GACAUUAAGCAUGCAUUCAGAGACCAUAUUCAGGAAGCAAUCAAGAUAGCUAUUUGUGGAGAUAUCUCUGAAGGUAUCUACUCAUUUUUCAGCUGUGAUUAAAAAUCAGAUACAAUGCUGAGCUUCUUAAUAAAUGGGAUGAAAAAUGAUAGAGAUGAUAUUCUUAUAAUAAUGUUAUAAAAAGUAUGCCUGCCCUAGGAUGGCUGUGUUCAGUUCAGGCCUCUCCAUCUCAAAACUACCCAAGAGAUGUAAAAGACAUUUAGAGAUAUGAAUCAGGGCUCUGCUUGACACACAGAGAUGGAAUAAUAUCGGCUGACUGACAAAGUUAUCAUCUCUGUCUGUAGUGCCGACGGUGCACGGACAGCUCAGAUGCUCAUGAAUCAGCUGGUUUACAACACAGCAGCAGUUUAAAGUAAACCGUUAGCUUUGCCAACCUAUAACUUCUCUGCUUGUCAGUCAGAUCUUUCAAACUGAUUAGGAGCAUAUGAAACUCCCAUGUGAAGCAAGAUUGAAAAGAUCAAGACUCCCUGCUUGGUAAGGAGCGGCACAAGUGACAGAUGAAAGAGAACAUGGCACAAAUGCACACGGUAGUGAAGACAGAGGGACGUAAGUGUGACUGUUACCCCUUCCGACCAAAGAAAAACCGAGGAUGGCCUGAUGACAUGGAAAGGUGGCUGUUGCAGAGAGAGGGAAGGAAACACCUUGCCCUGCAAAAGCAAGCACAGAAGAUGACACAGGAAGCGGUCGAACUUGUUGAUCAUCAGUAUUCUGGGGGCCCAGGGAGAUUCAGAAAAAAAAAUUGGAAAUAAUAUAAGCAAAUGAUCAUUCCCUAUGAGAAAGGAAGAAGUUCCCCCACCCCUAAGGAGUUAAGUCAUGUUGUAAUUUGUGGUAAAAGGCAUUGUCUGAAGGAAGAGAAUGCAAAGCAUCCAAAGUCCUGUUCAGUCUGACAAAUCACAAUGAGUAAAGAAUGAAGAAAGAAAUGCCUGAAUAGAACCAAAGAAGCUGUUAGGAUAUCAAGUACGUAGGUAGAAAGCAGCUGGAGAAGUAGCUAGAUGUCAAGAGAAAACAUAAUGGAAAAGGAAGAAUCAAGAAUAUAUCCCAGUUUAACUCCAUCUUGCACAGUUUCAAAGGCCACUCCAAAGCAGCUCAGGAAGGCUUGUGCUUAAUAUUAGACUAGAAUUCAAAUCAUCUCAUUACUGAACCUUGUAGAGGCAAAGGUGACCCUGAUUCACUGAAGAGGUUACUUGCGUCAGGAUUUCAGUCUGGAUGGACAGUGAAUUCACCAUUCUUCUGAACCUUCUGUACUGCUGGGCAAGAUACGGAUGGAGUCUUGCCAUUGAGGGGACAGCGUGAAAGGAAGAAAAUCUGCCUCUGAAAGAGAGCUAAUAGGGAGUUGCUUUCCUACCUGGAGUACAGAAGGAACCAGAAUUUAACUCGCUGUACCUACUUCAAUGGUGCCCCUGCAGAGAAUGAGAUUUGUUUCCUGGAAGUUUGUAUAUUAUGGCUGCUACCAAUUUGUUGUGUUAAAUUUUAACAGUCUGUGUUAAUGGUGCAUUGUCUACCAAUCUGUUACCAGUUUGUUGCAUCCAAUUUACAGACUACAUUGUUCAAAUUCUCCAUCAAUUUGUUGCAUUACUGCCUGUGCAGUUUAUGUGGCCCAAAGGA
Molecule: long non-coding RNA, 1665 nt
Organism: Gymnogyps californianus (California condor)
Lineage: Eukaryota; Metazoa; Chordata; Aves; Accipitriformes; Cathartidae
Exons: 3
Source: RefSeq, a predicted model, not a curated record